This 514-nucleotide long non-coding RNA is filed under the name Capsicum annuum. Its description in RNAcentral is "long non-coding RNA (CANN_LNC020687)". Lineage: Eukaryota; Viridiplantae; Streptophyta; Magnoliopsida; Solanales; Solanaceae. The record is from RNAcentral.
UCCUCGUAGUAGUGCUAGAAGCUCACACAUAACAACAGUGGAUGUCACGGUAAAAGAACCUGCAAAACCUAGUAACCAAUUACCCUAGCUAGUCCUGAGGACACCUCUGAUACUUACCAACUCAAAAAUUGUGGGUGCUGCAACAUUAGUAUGAAGGAAGAUAGUGUCGGGCUUUGUACUGGAUAACGUUCGAAGUAUAGGGUGGUUGCGAGAUAUAGAUGGCGGAAUCAAAAAAUAAAGUGCCUGGUACAAUUCACAGCCAAAAGUAAGAAUUGUGUAUAGUGACGGUUGGAUUUUGAUUUUCUUGAAGGUAUUUUACUUCGAGUUAACCAUAAAUGCCAAAGCAAGAAGGCAUAAAAAAGUGAUCGUGGUAAGGUUCGUAUAUGCACAGGCACGUGGUGCCAAUGAAGUAGUCGUUUGAGCCAAGUAGCUGGUGUUGUAGGAGUGGAACCUAAUAGAGAGGGUACUUGGACCUUUGGCCCGAGCCAGGAAUCUGUCCAGAACUUGAUAUUGG